ACUUGAUCUCGAGCCUCGGUUUCCCUCUCGGUACUUGUUUCAUCUCCGAGAGCAACGCUCAGCACAAAGCCGCUUGUAGAAAAUCGAAAAACAAGCGUUCACGCGCCUAGAGAGCAGCGUACGAGGUCAAGGCAUUGCCCCGAAGAAGCCAGCGGUAUCAGGGAACUGCAGUGGGCACGUCAACUGAGGAGCGCAUCGCGAGGAGCCUUCUGUACCCGUCAAGGGCAUGGGCUGAGCGAUACGGUGAGCGUUCACGCUCUGCAGAGUGGCGCUGCCACCAGGCGGAAAUUUGCCGGAGACAUGCAUUCGAGUGCCUGACCAAAGUCAAGUGUCGCCGCUGCGAAGCGCGCACCGAGGCUGUUUCCGACAAGUACGAAACCGAAAAGCGAAGCGUGAUUCGCGACUUGAGCCUGUGGACAUCGUGCGUCGACACCAGCCGAAGCCCGUGAUACCCGGACUUGGAAGCUGUUGUUGUUGUUGUCGUCGUCGUCAUGCAGUGACUACUGGAAACAGAGCUGGCGAGACGAACACGAUCCGCGUACGUAAACGCCGGAAAUAAAAGAGGGAAUAUGCGGCAGUUGCAGACAUAGCUUUCAACAACCGGUAUUCAUGAGAAUGAAAAGAGACCCAAACUUUAGGCUGUACACCCGUGUUCGAGUACCUGCUCCAUGAUAUCACGAGAUACGUGUAUUCUCUACAUCGAAGAAGGCACACAACGGUUUACGAGCCAUGAAGCAUGAAACGAGAUCGUGCGUUCGGCGGAAUCGUACAUAUUGCUUUAGUCUUUCAACGCAACGAUAUUGCAUAUCCGAAUCAUGUCAUCGAAUGCUUUUUCGCGGAGUAUAUCAAGAGAUCGAAAUCACGAUGCAAUGCACCAUACAGAUCGUAGACGAAUUACCAAUAAAACAUAUGCGUUACAGAACAGUGCAACGAGGACUGCAUCCCUCCUUCUGUUCAGUUAUACCACAGGACGCAGAUGAGAGAAGAACACAGAAAGAAACAAGUAUAUUUGCUCCGGCCCCAAAACUGGUAUUCUUAACGUGUGCUUGCUGUAAAUGGUAGAGAACAAGCAGUUGAGCACCUUUUACGGAAGGCAAAAGCAACGACACUAGCUACCACCGGCGCCUCUGUUUCUCUACAGCUUGUUCGUGUGGCACUGAAAACACUGGGAUAGAGUCGCAGAAAAAGGGUGCUAGUUCAUGAAUGGCCAUUUUCCAUAGGAACCACGACUACAGCGUUCCUGGAACGUCGCAAUUGGUAUUAGGGACCGAAAAGGCGACCUGUUUUCAUCAGUAGAUGACACUUGCUUCGGCCGAAACGGUCGCAGCGGCUAUGGGUAUUUGCGGAGCACGGAGCCCGUGGUAUGUACAAUCGAACUCCAAGAGGACUAAGACAUCAUUAUCUGUUCGACCUGCAUUGGAUACAUUUGGCGGCAUCAGUUUCCCCCGUAGAGAAAGCUCAUACUACAGCACCAACCACUGUGUCGAAUUAUUGAAGACCUUUUCUCCUGAAUGUCUCUUGACGCCCUUGUAUUGAACGUUGCAUUUCAACGUUCCGCUUGCGUUCGAGCUUUUGUCGAUUCUAUCUGGGUAGAGCUGCUUUUCGAUCCUCCGUGCUUAGCGUGUUUCAACCCCAUCGAACGAGUCUUUCGUAUCCUGAUACGUAAUGAUCGCUCCACUGGACGAAGCAUCGAAGCUUUGAACACGCGGUGACAUUCCGGGACACCUGUCGUCUUUCUUGUACAAGUGCUCCUCUCGCAGGGAACGCCCUCACAUGAGGGCAUGAACAAGUGCGUUCAUUUUGAAGAAAUAAAAAAUCCAAGGGAAAG
Molecule: unclassified non-coding RNA, 1828 nt
Filed under: Cyanidioschyzon merolae strain 10D
Lineage: Eukaryota; Rhodophyta; Bangiophyceae; Cyanidiales; Cyanidiaceae
Description: hypothetical transcript
Source: RNAcentral